Long non-coding RNA from Callorhinchus milii (elephant shark), 996 nucleotides. RefSeq lists it as uncharacterized. The record is from RefSeq and is a predicted model, not a curated record. The transcript is spliced from 3 exons. NCBI's taxonomy places the organism in Eukaryota, Metazoa, Chordata, Chondrichthyes, Chimaeriformes, Callorhinchidae.
GCAUUAAGGAACCAAACAAUAACUUGGAUGGACAAUCGCCAAGCAAUUCCUUCCAUAGAAAGAGAGAAAGUAUCUCCCCAGACACUCAACAAUAUGGUGAAUGCUUUUCAUCCAACUCGGAUGCAUCUUCCUUGCAAGGUUAUAAGCAUCUCAGAGGGAGACUGAAACGAGGCCUGUGAGGACAUUGAAUCCUUGGGCAAGAAGACAGUCAAUUGUGGCCAAAAGAGACAUGCCACCCUGAGAGCCGAAUGCACUAAUUGCUGUCAUGCAAUUGAUGGACUUUUCAUCUAUCUGCAGAUCCUUUACACUGAGGUAUGCUAAUGGUGAGUUCUGUGGAGAGAGGGAGAUUCAAGAUUUGAGAAACCGGCUGAUUCGAAAAAGACCAGCUCUGAAUACCGAUACCAAUAGCUGAGCAGAUGGCAAACUGAUUCUCAACAGAUUGGGCCUGAUAAAAUUUGAAUGGAUUUUGUCCAGAUGUAUGUAGAGACUCACAAAACUCAGUUUUGCUACGAAAGCAAGAUCGUUUGAAGACUCUCGUUAAACAGAAACAAAAAGGCUACAACGACAUCUUGCAUUCAUACAAUACCCUUCAUGCAGGUAGCUUCUCAGAUCGCUUAGACUAGAGACUGAGGGCGAGAGACUCCCAUUACCAAACAUUGUUACCUGUUAACUGAUAAAGAACAGCGACAAGCAGAAAGACCUAAGAUACAAAGAAGACACUCUAAAGGGACAAUUGCAGUCAAAGGGAGAGAUGACUCAAGGGGCUUUGCUAACUAAAGUGAGAGGUGAUCCAGAUAAGACUAUGCAGUAAAGACCUGAGAAAGCUACACCAAUGAUAAUAAAAGGUUAUAAUGUUUACAAGCUUUUAUGAGCCUAAUCGUAUCCAAUGUUAUAUGUUAACACUUGCAUCUUUUAUACAACUAUAGUGAAUAAAAGACAUUCUAUUUUGUGUCGUCAAAGUACUUGACUUUCUCUUAGUUAAUAAAGGGUUUAAUG